RNA transcript from Zalophus californianus (California sea lion), 1842 nucleotides. It is a transcript of the gene named coiled-coil domain containing 113, with no coding region annotated. The transcript has 11 exons. NCBI's taxonomy places the organism in Eukaryota, Metazoa, Chordata, Mammalia, Carnivora, Otariidae. The record is from RefSeq and is a predicted model, not a curated record.
CCGCGUGACGCUCGGCCGCUAGCACACGGCGCUCUUGGCUUCACUGAGCAUUGGCCAAGGGCCACUUGGGCAGAGUGAUGACUGACGAGGACUCUGAGACCCCUGUCAGCGGAUUGCAGGGCGGGGAGGAGAACGAGCUGCCUGUUAUCCAGCUGUGUGGGCUGGUGGAAGAGCUCAGCUAUGGAAACUCUGCUCUCAAAACUGAGACAGAGAUGUUUGAGAAAUAUUAUAAUAAACUGGAGCCCAGAGAUCAGCGACAUCCACGAUUAUCAGAAAUUAAAAUAUCAGGAGCAGAAUUUGCACAGUUACAAGGUAGGCGUAGAUCCAAAUCCCGCAUAGGUCUGGACCAUGUGAUAGGCCUCAGUUGCGACCAAAAAUGUGAGCUUGUACAAAAGGAGCUGGAAGACAUGAAGGAUGAAAUAAGGCACAUGAGAGCAAAUGCUGAACGAGACCUGCAGCAUCAUGAGGCUAUCAUUGAGGAAGCUGAAAUUCGAUGGGCUGAAGUUCAGAGAGCAAUGCAUGAGUUUAAAAAAGAUAUUCUAAAAACCAUAUCCAAGAAGAAAGGGAGUAUUUUGGCCACUCAGAAAGUGAUGAAGUACAUUGAGGACAUGAACCGCCGGAGGGAUAAUAUGAAGGAUAAAUUACGUUUGAAAAAUGUUUCUCUCAAAGUGCAGAGGAAAAAGAUGCUUUUACAGUUGAGGCAGAAGGAAGAGGUGGGCGAGGCUCUCCACGAUGUUGAUUUUCAGCAGCUGAAGAUCGAGAAUGCUCAGUUUUUAGAGACCAUUGAAGCAAAGAAUCAAGAACUGAUCCAGCUAAAGCUGGCGUCUGGAAACACCCUGCAGGUCCUCAACACAUACAAAAGCAAGCUACACCAAGCAAUGGAAAUGUCCGUCAAUCUGGACAAGGAGAUCUUGCUGAGAAAUGAGUUACUUGAAAAAAUUGAAAGAGAAACCCUACAAGUAGAGGAGGACCGGGCCAAGGCCGAGGCUUUGAACCAGAAGCUCCGCAAACAGCUGGCCGAGUUCCGCACACCGCAGGUGAUGCUGUACGUGCGGGAGAAGGUCUUAAAUGGGGACCUGGAGAAGACCAUCAAGAUGUGGGAAAGGAAAGUGGAGAUUGCAGAGAUGUCCUUAAAAGGCUACCGCAAGGCGUGGAAUAAAAUGAAAACCACCAAUGAGCAGUUGCAGGCAAUUUGCCCCCCUGAGAAAUAGCCAGAGGGAGGCCACGGCUGCAGACCAGAGUGAUCCAUUAAAGUCUGGUGUCCUUAUAAGAGGAAGCAGAGACCCCAGGAGUACACGCACUGAGGAAGGGCCAUGUGAAGACACAGCGAGAAGGCAGUGGUCUGCAAGCCAAAGAGAGAAUCUUCAGGAGAAACCAGUCCUGCUGAUCUUGGACUUGAUCUUGGACUUCUGGCCUCCCAAAUGGUCUCCAGUGUGACCUCAGAUGUACAUGCUGGGACUGUUUCUGAGAUCUCUCUCCUGCUACACUGGUCGUUUUAUCUAUAGCCCUGCGCCAAGUCCACGCAAUCUUAAGUAUUACAGCUUUGCAAUGUCUUACUAUUUAGUAAGGCGAGUGCUCCCACGUUAAUUCUUUUUCUUUAGGAAUCUCUUAACUAUUUUUGAUUUGUACUUUCAUGUAUUUUAGAAUCAACUUGGCAACUGCCACCAACCAACCAACAAAACCUUCUAAGAUUUGGAUUAGAAUUGCACUGCAUCAACAGUUCAAUUUGUGUCUACAUUAACAUCUUUAUAAUAUUGAAUCUUCUUACAUCCAAAUGGCCAACAGACACAUGAAAAAGUGCUCAACAUUGCUCGGCAUCAGGGAAAUCCAAAUCAAAACCUC